Malaya genurostris is the source of this 160-nucleotide small nuclear RNA. RefSeq annotates it as U4atac minor spliceosomal RNA. The transcript has a single exon. Lineage: Eukaryota; Metazoa; Arthropoda; Insecta; Diptera; Culicidae. The record is from RefSeq and is a predicted model, not a curated record.
ACCAUCCUUGUCUUGGGGAGCAUAAUAUCCAGUGAACGGAUAGUGAGGAUAUUGAUGCUGACAACCCAAAUGAAGGUAUGAUCUGAUCAUAUCUCGAAAAUACCCCCGCUCUGGGUGUCCGCUUUCAAACAGUGGCCAUCUGGGCGGAAUUUUUGAAGCG